RNAcentral lists this ribosomal RNA (428 nucleotides) under uncultured bacterium. RNAcentral's name for it is "partial 16S ribosomal RNA". It matches the Rfam family "Bacterial small subunit ribosomal RNA", at positions 354 to 796 of the family's 1533-position model. The record is from RNAcentral.
GUCGGGAGUCUUGCACAAUGGGGGAAACCCUGAUGCAGCGACGUCGCGUGUGGGAUGAAGUAUUUCGGUAUGUAAACCACUUUUGCGGGGGGCGAAAAAAAUGACGGUACCCCGCGAAUAAGCCCCGGCUAACUACGUGCCAGCAGCCGCGGUAAUACGUAGGGGGCGAGCGUUGCUCGGAUUGACUGGGCGUAAAGCGCGCGUAGGCGGUCCAUUAAGUGUGCGGUGAAAUUCGGAGGCUCAACCUCCGUCCCGCCGCGCAACCUGAUGGUCUUGAGAUUGGGAGGGGGAUGCGGAAUUCCUGGUGUAGCGGUGAAAUGCAUUGAUAUCAGGAGGAACACCGGCGGCGAAAGCGGCAUCCUGGCUUAUAUCUGACGCUGAGGCGCGAAAGCGUGGGUAGCAAACAGGAUUAGAUACCCGGGUAGUCC